AUAUAUCAACCUCUUCAGAUUUUGUCUGUGGAGUGUUUGGAUGUUGGGGGUUUUUCUUUUGUGCGGGCCCCUUUCCUGAGGUCAGCUCCCCUGAAAUGCAUUAGCAGAACGAUUUGGUUGAUCUUGUUCAUUGGUGUGAUAACUGUCUACGCUAUUGACAUGAAGCAACCAAGUUCGGCUUCUAACUGCGCCAUUCAUUGCAUUGGACAAAUUUUCAUUA
This 220-nucleotide unclassified non-coding RNA is filed under the name uncultured Cortinarius. RNAcentral's name for it is "sequence contains ITS2". The record is from RNAcentral. Lineage: Eukaryota; Fungi; Basidiomycota; Agaricomycetes; Agaricales; Cortinariaceae.